GCGCCCGUAGCUCAGUGGUGGAGCAGGACACUCAUAAUGUUCGGGUCGUUGGUUCGAGUCCAGCCGUGGCGCA
Molecule: transfer RNA, 73 nt
Filed under: Sphingobacterium sp. 2149
Lineage: Bacteria; Pseudomonadati; Bacteroidota; Sphingobacteriia; Sphingobacteriales; Sphingobacteriaceae
Description: tRNA-Met
Rfam family: tRNA
About the family: Transfer RNA (tRNA) molecules are approximately 80 nucleotides in length. Their secondary structure includes four short double-helical elements and three loops (D, anti-codon, and T loops). Further hydrogen bonds mediate the characteristic L-shaped molecular structure. tRNAs have two regions of fundamental functional importance: the anti-codon, which is responsible for specific mRNA codon recognition, and the 3' end, to which the tRNAs corresponding amino acid is attached (by aminoacyl-tRNA synthetases). tRNAs cope with the degeneracy of the genetic code in two manners: having more than one tRNA (with a specific anti-codon) for a particular amino acid; and 'wobble' base-pairing, i.e. permitting non-standard base-pairing at the 3rd anti-codon position.
Source: RNAcentral